UUGAUGCCAUGUCUUGGCUAUUGUGAAUAAUUCUGAAAUGAACAUGAGACUGCAGAUGUCUUCUUGACAUCCCGAUUUAAUUCAUUGGAUAUGUACCCAGAAAUGGGAUUACUAGACCAUAUGGCAAUUCUGUUUUUAGUUUCCAGUAUUCCAAUUUUAUUUUCUAUCCAGCCCAAUCGUGAUACCUGACUGAUCUCAAGAGAAUAACUCAAAAGUGUAGCAACUGAGAACUGCGAGGCUCCAGAAUGGAGGGUUAUUACAGAGACUGGAACUCACCUUCAUACAUAGCCUUGAACCUGCUCUGUUCUGACUAUUUCACUUUGGGAUCAUGGGUCAAGCUCAUUUCAGAGGGAAAGACUGCAAAAGACUUUUGCUAAAAUAUCCUCCUCUAACUAAAAUAUUUAAUUCCUCCGAGCCCCUGAAUAUUUUAUCAUAUAUAGAUCAAACUGAGAUUCAUAGAAUUUAAUGUGGAGACUUGCGCUAUUUUUAUAUCUCGGAUAUGCUGAUUUUGUUCUCCUACAAUACCAAUACACUUCCUUUUAAAUCCAUAGUGCUUGGUUCUCUCGUGUAAUCCUUCACCCUGCAUGCCUGUCCAGAAUCAUCCCCUGUUUUGGACAGAACGCUAUGACUGAAUUGACUGCCACAACUGAGUUACAAAACUGAAAUAGAAACAUAUGCUAUAAACCUCACUGUCUGGGGAUCUAUGAAUAUAACAUUGGUAUGUCAACGUGGCCAUCUUCCAGGACUGCAAGAGAAUGGGAUAAAUGUUGUUGGGCCAUAGUUUAUCAGAACAUUUGAGAGGAUUAUAUCAACAUUUUAUGUUUUCACUGGGAGCAAGGCAAUCCCUUCAGUGCUGGCAUUUAGAAUGUGGAUUCAGAAGUCUUUGAGAGUUGCCAGAAAAAGUCCAAUCUCAGAGGGAGACCCAGAUGAUAGGGCACUAAUCAGAAAAUGCAUCGUCCCCGCCAGAUGGUCCGGAUUGCGCCGAGAUACCUCACAGCCUGAAGAAUUGCGAGAGCUGUGAGAAGCAAACUAACAUUUCCAUUCUAGGUUCGAACAUGGAUGGAACUUGAAUAGACCAAAAAUCUCCUGGUCCAUUGAGUUAGUGCAGACCCAGGGUGAUGGGGACACCAUCUCCACAGAAGAAUCUGCUUACAAAUUCUGCACCCCAGGGUGGAUUCUGAAAUUUCUGCGCCAUAUAUGCCUGUGGCUGACUCGAGCUGGUUACAUAUCAUGCCCACUUUGAAGCCAUAGAAGUCCAACCUAUCAUGUGCCCAGAAGGAUUAACAGGUCCUGCUGAAUCCGGAGGUGGAAUGUACAAGGAGCAACGACGCUAGGAGAGUUUGCACAACAGGAGCGAAAUCAUGAGUGUCUUGAGUUUCACUGAGGUGUUCUGGGAAGUCAUCUCUUUGGCUCUUCAGAUAUGAAGCCGGGUUAUGGUAGGAAAACACAAAGGCCAUAAGUCCUGUGGUUUUCAAAGAAGUUCUUCAGUGGAAGGAGGGGAGAGUGGAGCAGAAUAAGGGUGUUGGCUAGACUUUCCCAGGAUUCCCAGGAUUGCUGAAGAGUGUCUGGAGCAUAUACCAAUCUUAUAUACUUUUAUGUGAUGUAAUUAAUUCAUCCAUGAAACAAGAAGGGUUUUUUUCCAUGGGAAAUGUCCUUGAACUGUUGAAACUUGAAAAAAUAAAAAAAGAAGUAAGUUGAGAUUAUUUUGGUUAAAAAUAAGCAGUGAACUCUACAUAAGGUCCCUGAAACAAAAUAAAUGUUCUAAAAGA
Non-coding RNA from Rattus norvegicus (Norway rat), 1769 nucleotides. Lineage: Eukaryota; Metazoa; Chordata; Mammalia; Rodentia; Muridae. The record is from RefSeq and is a predicted model, not a curated record.